Non-coding RNA from Procambarus clarkii (red swamp crayfish), 1193 nucleotides. Lineage: Eukaryota; Metazoa; Arthropoda; Malacostraca; Decapoda; Cambaridae. The record is from RefSeq and is a predicted model, not a curated record.
UGCAGGCUAGGUGAGUGACGUCACUGUGACGUCAAAGAAUGCACUCUGGGGCAGGUUUUGGACUGUAGUUCGAGUGUUGGUAAACAAACCCCCCAGGCGUCCAGGACCAUCCCCGCAGACACGGGCUCACCAAAGAAAGGAGAAUGGAUGGAUUUGCAAAUAAAAAGUUCAGGCACAGGUGUUACAAGUGCCACCAUUUUCAUAAUGAUGUUGAAAGGAACGGUCAGCGGUGUAGGACCUGUGGCACACCGAUCCAGAACCAACGUGGCGCUCCAUACCAACAUGCCAGAAAGCCUGCAACGUCUGUGUGUGAUGCUAAAAAGGGUGGUGCACUAAAACUGAGGUGUGCAAACUGUCACGUGGAGGGAGUUCCCACCUGGCAUGAGGACUGUACCUCACUCCCGCCGAGACGGGCUGCCCGGGGUACACCAGCUGGGGGCGCCAGUAACCACCCUGGCUCAUCUGCUCUGCCCCCACCGGACACUCCGUCACACUCUCCUGCCUUACCCAACCACUCCAACGCCACGGCUAGUAGUAGCUCGAGUGACACAGUUGUAGUCCCUACCAAUUCAUGUUGGUCGGGGGGCCCGGAUCAGGCACAGAAAAUUAGUGAGCUUAUGAAUACAGUAGAAAAACAGAGCAAAACUGAGGAAAAGCUGACAAGCAGAUAACCGAACAAAAUAAGGAAAUCAUGCCCCAAAAGACGAUGAUAACCACUCUUCAGGACACUGAGAAUAUUAACUGAGUGCAGGCUACACCAACCUGGGGUACCACCAUGUGCUCCCAUGCGGCCAGUACCCCAGGGGAGACUUCAGCAGGGGGUGUCCCAGCCCUCACACCAGCUGGGCUCCCCCACCACGGCUCCCCACACCCCAGCCUCAUCAACGCCGUGUGCUAUGAACAGAGGUAAACUAUUCCACGUAGAAACGCAUAGUGCUGUCGAUGAGCAGGUAAAACCCCGCAGAAUUUGCCUAGUUAUCAGUGUUAUAAUCCCAGAUCAAAAAAUACGUGUCUCAUGUAUGUUAAAAAAUCCCUGCCACAUGAGCCACUUCCCGCUCAACAACGAGAGGAGUUUCAAUAUCAUGGUAUCCGGGUACACGUUGGUAACUCUACACUUAAUGUUUUGAAUGCUUAUGCACCUACUGGCCUCCUCCAGUAUACUGACCUACCUAGUUUUGCACAUACUGAUUGUA